Molecule: long non-coding RNA, 234 nt
Filed under: Capsicum annuum
Lineage: Eukaryota; Viridiplantae; Streptophyta; Magnoliopsida; Solanales; Solanaceae
Description: long non-coding RNA (CANN_LNC017424)
Source: RNAcentral
UUUGAAUCAAGAUUAACAGGAAAUAUCAAACAUGCAGCAGAAUGAAAGUACCAAAGAAUGGGGAACAAAAGCUUUGGCAAAGGUGAAACAAGAGACCAGAUAGAUAGUGAUUCCAAUCAACAAAAAAAAAGUAACAGAGAAUAAAGUGAAGAAAAAGGGGAAGAAAAAAUAGAAGUACAGGAAAACAAGAAAGAAUCUCAGCAAGGUCAAAUUCAUAAUCAGGGGGAGGCGGUG